Salvia miltiorrhiza (redroot sage) is the source of this 744-nucleotide long non-coding RNA. RefSeq lists it as uncharacterized. The transcript has 2 exons. Lineage: Eukaryota; Viridiplantae; Streptophyta; Magnoliopsida; Lamiales; Lamiaceae. The record is from RefSeq and is a predicted model, not a curated record.
UUCGCACCCGGCCCGACCCAUAGUAACAAAAUAUAAAAGCCUUUUCUAAUUAUUUUUCAUUUCCUCCCAGUUUUUUUUGCCCGCAUUUCUCUCCGCCGCUUCAAUUCUCUCUCUCGUCUCUUUCAAUUCUUCUCUCCGCCGCUUCAAUUCUUCGCCCAAGUCCACCGCUUCAAGUUCGUCUUCGAUUUCUCCGUUCACCGGUGUGGUUCCGUUCUUCGUUUCCGAUCAAGCAGCGGCGGCGGAAAUUCUGUAGUGAAGGAGUUAGGGCACGCCCUUGUUUUUGUUGCGCGGAGAGGAAAGACAGAGACAAAAAUGGAGUUUGGAUAGGGGCGGAGGAAUAAAAGGGUACCUCCAAGUUUUUGCCUUGGAGAAUUAACUUCACAGAAGAGAGAGGGCCAUCCCCACGACAUUUUGAUCCCAAACGAUCUCUAACCGCCAUUUCUGACAAGGAGCAUUUCGUGGGAGCCCAGAAAACUGGAUUUUUGUGAAGGAAAUGAAAGCGGGUGAGAAUUAUAGGAGCAGCUAAACGAUGAAGAAGAAGACGAAGUGGAGCAGGAAACAUGGUGCUGAUGAGUGAAGCUCUUCUGUAUAGUUGGAGCUGCCAGUAGCGUAGCCAUCUUUUUUCUUAAUACUUUGGGAUUUGAGUUUCUUUGAAUUUCACUCUUGAUGAUUGUUCUUGAUUCUUGAAGAUGAACAUGAAUGUUGUACAAACAGCCGUUUAGAGAGCCUUUAGUUAUUUAGUUA